Molecule: long non-coding RNA, 520 nt
Organism: Cylas formicarius (sweet potato weevil)
Lineage: Eukaryota; Metazoa; Arthropoda; Insecta; Coleoptera; Brentidae
Exons: 3
Source: RefSeq, a predicted model, not a curated record
AGAUUUUCUCUACCUAUUCGUGUUAUUAGCCAUUGAAAUUACUUUGGCGCCCUUCCAAACUGGCGACGUUUCGCGAAAAACAAUUUUUUAAUCAUUGUCUGACGAGGUGCUUUGUGGUAAGCACAAGAUACUUAAAUUGAUAUCUUGUUACAGGAAAAAUGUAUACCUUGUCUUAUGAUCCUGUGUUCGGGCACAAAUUCUACUCUUACGUACCCCAUUCUAAGUACUACACGGAUUACAAUAUCAGAGGACCACUCGAUUUUUACGAACCUUCACGUGUCAGUAAGUGGUACCCCCACUAUUGGCCUACCCAUUUGCUGGAUUACGUUCCCACCAAAUAUUCCUUACGAAAGUUACGUGUUAGAAAUCAUCUGUACCGUUUGGCGUAGCAUGAUGCAAUCGACAUUUACCUUGGGGUACCCAGAAACAUAGUAAUGAUAGAACAUUCUAUAUUAAAUAAUUUAAUUUCAGUAUUUAGCAAUUUUGUUGUAUUUUAAAGAUAUUAUUAAACUACCUUAGA